Molecule: ribosomal RNA, 253 nt
Filed under: uncultured bacterium
Lineage: Bacteria
Description: partial 16S ribosomal RNA
Rfam family: Bacterial small subunit ribosomal RNA
Source: RNAcentral
UACGGAGAGUGCAAGCGUUGUUCGGAUUCACUGGGCGUAAAGGGCACGUAGGCGGCUCGGCAAGUCAGUCGUGGAAUCCCGUCGCUUACCGGCGGAACGGCGGCUGAAAAUACCGGGCUCGAGGGCGUGAGGGGUCACUGGAACUCUUGGUGAAGCGGUGAAAUGCGUAGAUAUCAAGAGGAACGCCGGAGGCGAAAGCGAGUGACUGGCGCGUUCCUGACGCUGAGGUGCGAAAGCUAGGGGAGCAAACAGG